GACGAACGCUGGCGGCGUGCUUAACACAUGCAAGUCGAACGGAAAGGCCCUGCUUUUGUGGGGUGCUCGAGUGGCGAACGGGUGAGUAACACGUGAGUAACCUGCCCUUGACUUUGGGAUAACUUCAGGAAACUGGGGCUAAUACCGGAUAGGAGCUCCUGCUGCAUGGUGGGGGUUGGAAAGUUUCGGCGGUUGGGGAUGGACUCGCGGCUUAUCAGCUUGUUGGUGGGGUAGUGGCUUACCAAGGCUUUGACGGGUAGCCGGCGUGGGAGGGUGACCGGGCACAUUGGGACUGAGAUACGGCCCAGACUCCUACGGGAGGCAGCGGUGGGGAAUAUUGCACAAUGGGCGGAAGCCUGAGGCAGCAACGCCGCGUGCGGGAUGACGGCCUUCGGGUUGUAAACCGCUUUCGCCUGUGACGAAGCGUGAGUGACGGUAAUGGGUAAAGAAGCACCGGCUAACUACGUG
RNAcentral lists this ribosomal RNA (468 nucleotides) under uncultured bacterium. RNAcentral describes it as "partial 16S ribosomal RNA". It matches the Rfam family "Bacterial small subunit ribosomal RNA", at positions 28 to 507 of the family's 1533-position model. The record is from RNAcentral.